This 468-nucleotide ribosomal RNA is filed under the name uncultured bacterium. Its description in RNAcentral is "partial 16S ribosomal RNA". It matches the Rfam family "Bacterial small subunit ribosomal RNA", at positions 28 to 507 of the family's 1533-position model. The record is from RNAcentral.
GACGAACGCUGGCGGCGUGCUUAACACAUGCAAGUCGAACGGAAAGGCCCUGCUUUUGUGGGGUGCUCGAGUGGCGAACGGGUGAGUAACACGUGAGUAACCUGCCCUUGACUUUGGGAUAACUUCAGGAAACUGGGGCUAAUACCGGAUAGGAGCUCCUGCUGCAUGGUGGGGGUUGGAAAGUUUCGGCGGUUGGGGAUGGACUCGCGGCUUAUCAGCUUGUUGGUGGGGUAGUGGCUUACCAAGGCUUUGACGGGUAGCCGGCCUGAGAGGGUGACCGGCAACCUGGGGCCUACGAGAGCCACCAGUGCCGAACGGGGGCCAAGGGGGGGAAAUUUGACCCAGGGGGCGCAGGCGGGUGACGACAGCCCCCGGGUCGGAAAGCCGGCUUGCGGGUAAAAAACCGCUUUCGCUUGUUACGAAGCUGUAGUGACGGUAAGGAAAAAAGAAGCACCGGCUAACUUCGUG